This 912-nucleotide ribosomal RNA is filed under the name uncultured Bacillota bacterium. RNAcentral's name for it is "bacterial SSU rRNA". It matches the Rfam family "Bacterial small subunit ribosomal RNA", at positions 1 to 917 of the family's 1533-position model. The record is from RNAcentral. Lineage: Bacteria; Bacillati; Bacillota.
UGGAUCCAGACUUUGAUCCUGGCUCAGGAUAAACGCUGGCGGCGCACAUAAGACAUGCAAGUCGAACGAACUUAAUUCUUUAGUUUACUAUAGAAAGCGGUUAGUGGCGGACUGGUGAGUAACGCGUAAGCAAUCCGCCUAUUAGAGGGGGAUAACAGUGAGAAAUCACUGCUAAUACCGCAUAAGCUGUGAAUACCACAUGGUAAAAAUAGAAAAGGAGCAAUCCGCUAAUAGAUGAGCUUGCGUCGGAUUAGUUAGUUGGUGAGGUAACGGCCCACCAAGACGAUGAUCAGUAGCCGGACUGAGAGGUUAAACGGCCACAUUGGGGCUGAGAUACGGCCCAGACUCCUACGGGAGGCAGCAGUCGGGAAUAUUGCGCAAUGGAAGAAACUCUGACGCAGUGACGCCGCGUGCAGGAAGAAGGUUUUCGGAUUGUAAACUGCUUUAGACAGGGAAGAAAGAAAUGACGGUACCUGUAGAAUAAGCUCCGGCUAACUACGUGCCAGCAGCCGCGGUAAUACGUAGGGAGCAAGCGUUAUCCGGAUUUAUUGGGUGUAAAGGGUGCGUAGACGGGUAUGCAAGUUAGUAGUGAAAUCCCUCGGCUUAACUGAGGAACUGCUACUAAAACUACAUAUCUUGAGUGCUGGAGGGGAAAGUGGAAUUCCUAGUGUAGCGGUGAAAUGCGUAGAUACUAGGAAGAACACCGGUGGCGAAGGCGACUUUCUGGACAGUAACUGACGUUGAGGCACGAAAGUGUGGGGAGCAAACAGGAUUAGAUACCCUGGUAGUCCACACCGUAAACGAUGGAUACUAGGUGUAGGUGGUGAUGAACCGUCUGUGCCGUCGCAAACGCAGUAAGUAUCCCACCUGGGGAGUACGACCGCAAGGUUGCAACUCAAAGGAAUUGACGGA